UCGAGGAUCAUUCGCAAUGCGCGAAAGCGUGACGAUGCGACGCCGCGUGUAGGAUGAAGGCCUUCGGGUCGUAAACUACUGUCGUAGGGGAACAAUGAUUGGUGCAUGAAUAAUGCAUCAAAGUGAUAGUACCCUAGGAGGAAGCCACGGCUAACUCUGUGCCAGCAGCUGCGGUAAUACAGAGGUGGCAAGCGUUGUUCGGAUUUACUGGGCGUAAAGGGUGCGUAGGCGGUUUCGUGUGUCAGAUGUGAAAGCCUCUCGUUCAUCGAGAGAAUUGCAUUUGAAACUACGAAGCUAGAGUUCAGGAGAGGGGAGUGGAAUUCUUGGUGUAGCGGUGAAAUGCGUAGAUAUCAAGAGGAACACCGGUUGCGAAGGCGGCUCCCUGGAAUGAUACUGACGCUGAGGCACGAAAGCUAGGGGAGCAAACAGGAUUAGAUACCCACGUAGUCCCUG
RNAcentral lists this ribosomal RNA (453 nucleotides) under uncultured bacterium. RNAcentral describes it as "bacterial SSU rRNA". It matches the Rfam family "Bacterial small subunit ribosomal RNA", at positions 355 to 799 of the family's 1533-position model. The record is from RNAcentral.